GCCUACGGGAGGCAGCAGUGGGGAAUAUUGCACAAUGGGCGAAAGCCUGAUGCAGCAACGCCGCGUGCGCGAUGAAGGCCUUCGGGUCGUAAAGCGCUUUUCUGAGAGAUGAGAAAGGACAGUAUCUCAGGAAUAAGUCUCGGCUAACUACGUGCCAGCAGCCGCGGUAAAACGUAGGAGGCAAGCGUUAUCCGGAUUCACUGGGCGUAAAGCGCGUGCAGGCGGUUCGGUAAGUUGGGCGUGAAAUCUCCUGGCUCAACUAGGAGAGGUCGUCCAAUACUACCGGGCUAGAGAGCGGUAGAGGAAGAUGGAAUUCCCGGUGUAGUGGUGAAAUGCGUAGAUAUCGGGAGGAACACCAGUGGCGAAGGCGAUCUUCUGGACCGUUUCUGACGCUCAGACGCGACAGCUAGGGUAGCAAACGGGAUUAGAUACCCGUGUAGUCCG
This 444-nucleotide ribosomal RNA is filed under the name uncultured bacterium. RNAcentral describes it as "bacterial SSU rRNA". It matches the Rfam family "Bacterial small subunit ribosomal RNA", at positions 337 to 797 of the family's 1533-position model. The record is from RNAcentral.